CCCCAUGCCGAGGGGCGCCGGUGGAAGCCGGCUGAGAUCGCUCUGGCCUCAAGCAGCAACAGGCUGCUUCGAGCCACCGGGCGAGCACCCUUUGAACCUGAUCCGGAUCAUGCCGGCGAAGGGACGGGAAAUGGACAAAUC
This 141-nucleotide non-coding RNA is filed under the name Alphaproteobacteria bacterium. RNAcentral describes it as "TPP sequence". It matches the Rfam family "TPP riboswitch aptamer (THI element)". Rfam says of the family: Vitamin B(1) in its active form thiamin pyrophosphate (TPP) is an essential coenzyme that is synthesised by coupling of pyrimidine and thiazole moieties in bacteria. The previously detected thiamin-regulatory element, thi box was extended, resulting in a new, highly conserved RNA secondary structure, the THI element, which is widely distributed in eubacteria and also occurs in some archaea. Analysis of operon structures identified a large number of new candidate thiamin-regulated genes, mostly transporters, in various prokaryotic organisms. Lineage: Bacteria; Pseudomonadati; Pseudomonadota; Alphaproteobacteria. The record is from RNAcentral.